This 253-nucleotide ribosomal RNA is filed under the name uncultured bacterium. RNAcentral describes it as "partial 16S ribosomal RNA". It matches the Rfam family "Bacterial small subunit ribosomal RNA", at positions 524 to 776 of the family's 1533-position model. The record is from RNAcentral.
UACGUAGGGUGCAAGCGUUGUCCGGAAUUAUUGGGCGUAAAGAGCUUGUAGGCGGUUUGUCGCGUCUGCUGUGAAAUUUCGGGGCUCAACCCCGAGCCUGCAGUCGAUACGGGCAAACUAGAGUGUGGUAGGGGAGACUGGAAUUCCUGGUGUAGCGGUGAAAUGCGCAGAUAUCAGGAGGAACACCGGUGGCGAAGGCGGGUCUCUGGGCAGUAACUGACGCUGAGGAGCGAAAGCGUGGGGAGCGAACAGG